Molecule: long non-coding RNA, 289 nt
Organism: Bufo bufo (common toad)
Lineage: Eukaryota; Metazoa; Chordata; Amphibia; Anura; Bufonidae
Exons: 4
Source: RefSeq, a predicted model, not a curated record
CCGAAGCCCAAUGCUUCCGGCCCAGGAAGCACCGACCGCUCUGGUGAAAUGAACGGUGACACCAAAGACAGAAUCCUGGCCUUGGUGCGGUAACCUGAGCAAUAGCCAAUCUGAUAAAGCGGAGGAAAACCACCCUGGAGUCCGUCAACCCUAUGCGCGGACCUCCUGGAACCCAAAGAGAGCGAACGUCGACAAGAGUCGGAGAUCUUCAAGUAAAAAACGGCAAGGCCCAAACAACGUCCAAAACGGUGAAGUGACCGUUUCCGGGAGUGGAAAGGGGAGGACGUCU